AGAGUUUGAUCAUGGCUCAGAUUGAACGCUGGCGGCAGGCCUAACACAUGCAAGUCGAGCGGUAACAUUUCUAGCUUGCUAGAAGAUGACGAGCGGCGGACGGGUGAGUAAUGCUUGGGAAUAUGCCUUAGGGUGGGGGACAACAGUUGGAAACGACUGCUAAUACCGCAUAACGUCUACGGACCAAAGGGGGCUUCGGCUCUCGCCCUUAGAUUAGCCCAAGUGGGAUUAGCUAGUUGGUGAGGUAAUGGCUCACCAAGGCGACGAUCCCUAGCUGGUUUGAGAGGAUGAUCAGCCACACUGGAACUGAGACACGGUCCAGACUCCUACGGGAGGCAGCAGUGGGGAAUAUUGCACAAUGGGCGCAAGCCUGAUGCAGCCAUGCCGCGUGUGUGAAGAAGGCCUUAGGGUUGUAAAGCACUUUCAGUAAGGAGGAAAGGUUAGUAGUUAAUACCUGCUAGCUGUGACGUUACUUACAGAAGAAGCACCGGCUAACUCCGUGCCAGCAGCCGCGGUAAUACGGAGGGUGCGAGCGUUAAUCGGAAUUACUGGGCGUAAAGCGUACGCAGGCGGUUUGUUAAGCGAGAUGUGAAAGCCCCGGGCUCAACCUGGGAACUGCAUUUCGAACUGGCAAACUAGAGUAUGAUAGAGGGUGGUAGAAUUUCAGGUGUAGCGGUGAAAUGCGUAGAGAUCUGAAGGAAUACCGAUGGCGAAGGCAGCCACCUGGGUCAAUACUGACGCUCAUGUACGAAAGCGUGGGGAGCAAACGGGAUUAGAUACCCCGGUAGUCCACGCCGUAAACGAUGU
RNAcentral lists this ribosomal RNA (807 nucleotides) under Pseudoalteromonas sp. MOLA 432. RNAcentral describes it as "bacterial SSU rRNA". It matches the Rfam family "Bacterial small subunit ribosomal RNA", at positions 8 to 812 of the family's 1533-position model. The record is from RNAcentral. Lineage: Bacteria; Pseudomonadati; Pseudomonadota; Gammaproteobacteria; Alteromonadales; Pseudoalteromonadaceae.